RNAcentral lists this ribosomal RNA (490 nucleotides) under uncultured bacterium. Its description in RNAcentral is "partial 16S ribosomal RNA". It matches the Rfam family "Bacterial small subunit ribosomal RNA", at positions 28 to 507 of the family's 1533-position model. The record is from RNAcentral.
GUUGAACGCUGGCGGCAUGCUUUACACAUGCAAGUCGGACGGCAGCACAGAGAUGCUUGCUUCUUGUCUGGCGAGUGGCGAACGGGUGAGUAAUAUAUCUGAACGUCCCGAUUUAUGGGGGAUACCUAAUCGAAAGUUUACCUACUACAUCAUAUUCUCUGAGGAGGAGAGCAGGGGACAUUCGGUCCUUGCGUUGUUCGCGCGUCCCAUAUCUGAUUCGCUAGUUGGUGGGGUAAACGUCUACCACGUCGACGGUCAGUAGCGCGUCUGAGAGGAUGAUCCCCCACACUGGGAGUGAGUCAGCGUCCAGACUCCUACGGGAGGCAGCAGUGGCGAAUUUGCGGCAGCGGGCGGAAGAAUUAUCCAGCGGUGCCGCGUGUCUGAAGAAGGGCCUCGGGUUGUAAAGGCCUUUUGUCAGGGAAGAAAAGCCUUUUGCUAAUACAGACAGUUGAUGACGGUACCGGAAAAAUAAGCACCGGCUAACUACGUG